AAGGACUUAAUAGAAGACCUAAAGGCUUUUAUUGUUUACUAUAAUGGUUUUGUUGAUUUAGUUAGUUGGGGAACAUUGAAGUUUGCUUGCGCUACACUAAUGUAUUCAACGAGUCUAUAACCUUGGCUGACAAGCCUGGGUAAUCUUUGAAAAUUUCAUCGUAAUGGGGAUAGAUAAUUGCAAUUGUUGGCUUUCAACAAGGAAUUCUUAUUGAGCACGAGUCAUCAGCUCGCAUUGGCUAUGUCUCUACCCUUUGUACA
This 260-nucleotide non-coding RNA is filed under the name Musa acuminata subsp. malaccensis (wild Malaysian banana). RNAcentral describes it as "Eukaryotic small subunit ribosomal RNA". It matches the Rfam family "Eukaryotic small subunit ribosomal RNA", at positions 1147 to 1666 of the family's 1831-position model. The record is from Rfam by way of RNAcentral. Lineage: Eukaryota; Viridiplantae; Streptophyta; Magnoliopsida; Zingiberales; Musaceae.